RNAcentral lists this ribosomal RNA (122 nucleotides) under Ktedonobacteraceae bacterium. RNAcentral describes it as "partial 16S ribosomal RNA". It matches the Rfam family "Bacterial small subunit ribosomal RNA", at positions 1 to 130 of the family's 1533-position model. The record is from RNAcentral. Lineage: Bacteria; Bacillati; Chloroflexota; Ktedonobacteria; Ktedonobacterales; Ktedonobacteraceae.
AAUGGCGAGUUUGAUCCUGGCUCAGGAUAAACGCUGGCGGCGUGCCUAACACAUGCAAGUCGAACGUCUCUUCUUUCGGGAAGAGGAGUGGCGGACGGGUGAGGAACACGUGGGAACCUGCC